GAUGAACGCUGGCGGCGUGCCUAACACAUGCAAGUCGAGCGAUUCUCUUCGGAGAAGAGCGGCGGACGGGUGAGUAACGCGUGGGUAACCUGCCCUGUACACACGGAUAACAUACCGAAAGGUAUGCUAAUACGAGAUAAUAUACUUUUAUCGCAUGGUAGAAGUAUCAAAGCUUUUGCGGUACAGGAUGGACCCGCGUCUGAUUAGCUAGUUGGUAAGGUAACGGCUUACCAAGGCGACGAUCAGUAGCCGACCUGAGAGGGUGAUCGGCCACAUUGGAACUGAGACACGGUCCAAACUCCUACGGGAGGCAGCAGUGGGGAAUAUUGCACAAUGGGCGAAAGCCUGAUGCAGCAACGCCGCGUGAGCGAUGAAGGCCUUCGGGUCGUAAAGCUCUGUCCUCAAGGAAGAUAAUGACGGUACUU
This 425-nucleotide ribosomal RNA is filed under the name uncultured bacterium. Its description in RNAcentral is "bacterial SSU rRNA". It matches the Rfam family "Bacterial small subunit ribosomal RNA", at positions 28 to 480 of the family's 1533-position model. The record is from RNAcentral.